Nycticebus coucang (slow loris) is the source of this 997-nucleotide long non-coding RNA. RefSeq lists it as uncharacterized. The record is from RefSeq and is a predicted model, not a curated record. NCBI's taxonomy places the organism in Eukaryota, Metazoa, Chordata, Mammalia, Primates, Lorisidae. The transcript has 3 exons.
AAACUGGCCCAGAGGGAAGGAACGACACCGGACGUUUAUAGGGAGGCAUGACAUAAAGAAUUGUUUACUGAAGCCCUGCAAGGUGCCAAAGCCUGGACUAGACGCCUUAUAUAACCAGCGCAGGAACCCUGUAAAGUAUAAACAUCUGAGUGCUUUUGCCACAGAGAGAGCAGAAAGUAAAGAGGCAGGAGCAGUAAGCUGGUCUCCCACCAUCCCUCCAGCAAAUCUCCCACUGUAGCAAUGAAAAUGUGUCAGCGGACAGAGCUCGGAAGCAAGGCUAGAAAAGAUGGUCAAAGAGAGAAGCCAUCUCCAGUGCCCAUGUUGGAAUUGGCAACACCUCUGAUCCACACGAUUCGUUUCUGCUGUCUCUAGUGGUUUCUUGAGGCUGGUUCACAUUCCUCCUCUUGCUCUUGAACAUCAAAACUCCAGGUUCUCUGGCCUUGGGACUAAGAAUUACACCAGCAGCCUUCCUGGUGGGGAGGUAAUUUGAACUUGGACUGAGCAUCCCAGGGCCUCCAGCUUGCACACAGCCUGUGGUAGAACUUAGUCUUCAUUAUCAUGUAGGCCAGUCCCCCUAAUAAGUCCCCUUUCAUGUAUUGAUAUCAUAUCUAUCUACAUCUAUAUCUAUCCUACCAUUUCUGUUUCUCUGGAGGGUCCUCAUCAGCAGGCCCAGUGAAGGAAGAAUCAGAGCUGCUCCCCAGCACUGCACUCAGGGUAUGAUGUGACUUCAGAGAAGAUGUCUACUUGGCAUGGCUAGGCGCAGGUCUUCCCAUUCAGCAAAAUUUCUCAUUGUCCAUAGAUGAGCAGAUAAUUGCUUGACACCGAAUGAGACCCGGAAAUUUGAACACAGGAAACUCAGGAAAUUUUAGUAGUGACGUAUUUGAUGUGUUAAAACUGCUUGUAUCAAUGAACUGCCAUGUAGCUAUCCUAUAUUCUAGAAUGGAAAGGGGGAGGCUUUAAUAAUAAAUAAUAUGGAUUUUCCAUAGUAAUAUAUUAA